Molecule: ribosomal RNA, 450 nt
Filed under: uncultured bacterium
Lineage: Bacteria
Description: bacterial SSU rRNA
Rfam family: Bacterial small subunit ribosomal RNA
Source: RNAcentral
GUGGGGAAUUUUGGACAAUGGGGGCAACCCUGAUCCAGCCAUGCCGCGUGCGGGAAGAAGGCCUUCGGGUUGUAAACCGCUUUUGUCAGGGAAGAAAUCCUUUGGGUUAAUACCUCGGAGGGAUGACGGUACCUGAAGAAUAAGCACCGGCUAACUACGUGCCAGCAGCCGCGGUAAUACGUAGGGUGCGAGCGUUAAUCGGAAUUACUGGGCGUAAAGCGUGCGCAGGCGGUUUUGUAAGAUCGAUGUGAAAUCCCCGGGCUCAACCUGGGAACUGCAUUGGGGACUGCAAGGCUGGAGUGCGGCAGAGGGGGAUGGAAUUCCGCGUGUAGCAGUGAAAUGCGUAGAUAUGCGGAGGAACACCGAUGGCGAAGGCAAUCCCCUGGGCCUGCACUGACGCUCAUGCACGAAAGCGUGGGGAGCAAACAGGAUUAGAUACCCUUGUAGUCC